Molecule: ribosomal RNA, 1252 nt
Filed under: metagenome
Description: SSU rRNA
Rfam family: Eukaryotic small subunit ribosomal RNA
Source: RNAcentral
UUAUGGAAGGGUGGUAUUUAUUAGACUGAAGCCAAUAUUCCUUGUGUCUAUUGCGGUGAUUCAUAAUAACUGAUCGAAUCUCUUUUUGAGAUAAAUCAUUCAAGUUUCUGCCCUAUCAGCUUUCGAUGGUAGUGUAUUGGACUACCAUGGCAGUAACGGGUAACGAAGAAUUAGGGUUCGAUUUCGGAGAGGGAGCAUGAGAAACGGCUACCACAUCUAAGGAAGGCAGCAGGCGCGUAAAUUACCCAAUCCUGACUCAGGGAGGUAGUGACAAGAAAUAGCAAACCGGGAACCUCAUGGUUUCACGGUAUUGCAAUGAGAACAAUUUAAAACCCUUAGCGAGAAUCAAGUGGAGGACAAGUCUGGUGCCAGCACCCGCGGUAAUUCCAGCUCCACUAGCGUAUAUUAAAGUUGUUGCAGUUAAAAAGCUCGUAGUUGAACCUCUGUCUGGGGCUAGUUUUGGCUUUGGUCAGGCUAGUUCUAGGCAUCCGCCUACAAGACUUAGAGGGCAUUCAGUUGUUCACUAGGAGGAGUAGGCAUUUUACUUUGAAAAAAUUAGAGUGUUUAAGGCAGGCAAUCGCCCGCAUAUAUUAGCAUGGAAUAAUAGAAUAGGACACUUUUCCAUUUCGUUGGUUAUUGGAAUCGUGUAAUGAUUAAUAGGGACAGUUGUGGGCAUUUGUAUUUAAUUGUCAGAGGUGAAAUUCUUGGAUUUAUUAAAGACAAACUAACGCGAAAGCAUUUGCCAAGGAUGUUUUCAUUAAUCAAGAACGAAAGUUAGGGGAUCAAAGACGAUCAGAUACCGUCCUAGUCUUAACUAUAAACUAUUCCGACUCAAUGUUUGACUGGCUUAUAUAACCAGUUGAGCGUUGUAUGAGAAAUCAAAGUCUUUAGGUUCUGGGGGGAGUAUGGUUGCAAAGCUGAAACUUAAAGGAAUUGACGGAAGAGCACAACCAGGAGUGGAUUCUGCGGCUUAAUUUGACUCAACACGGGGAAACUUACCAGGUUAAAACAAUAGUGGGAUUGACAGUUUGAGAGCGCUUUCUUGAUUGGUUGGGUGGUGGUGCAUGGCCGUUCUUAGUUGGUGGAGUGAUUUGUCUGCUUAAUUGCGUUAACGAACGAGACCUUAACCUGCUUACUAGACUGGCGAUCAUCAAUCGUUAGCUCUUCUUAGAGGGACUUUGGUUGUUAUGACUCCAAGGAAGUUUGAGGCAAUAACAGGUCUGUGAUGCCCUUAGAUAUCCUGGGCCCCACC